CGCCGCUGGCUCCGCCCACCGCGUGGUCCAAGGACCACCACCCGCCACCGCCGCGCGAGCGUACUAUUGCGGCCGCCCUCUGCUGCGCCUGAAGAGAGAGGCGACUCUACAAGCCUCACAGCAUGCACUGUUACUAAAAAGACGAUGCGUCCUCCUGGACCUGAGAUCUGUGUGAUCGUGGGAAAGCGACGAAAAACACAACCCACCUGAGGCACCAGACACAUGAGUGAAGCCAUCUUGGACAUCCCAGUCACAGCCAAACUCACUCCUGAGUGCAUCUGCAUGAUGAACCCAGCAAUCCCCACCAUGGAGCAAAGGAUCCAUCCAGUCAACCCAAAGAAUCGUGAAAAAUAAUAAAUUGUUGUUUUAAAGUUCUUCAGUUUGGGAAUAGCUUGUUAUGCAACAAUACAUAAUUAAUACACUGGUCUCCCACUUUCAAGUUUGAUUAACUUUCAGCUAUUUUUCACAUAGCAGGCAGAGUGAUUCCAUUAAAACAUAUAUCAGAUAAUGUCACUGCACUAAGUAAACUCUACAAGGACUCUCAUCUCCCUCAGAGUAAAGGUCACAGUUGUUACAAGGCCCUACGUAAUGUGGCCCUCACCACCACUCCAUUACCUUUUUCUUAUCUACUAUUUGCUAACUUUGCUUUGUCCUCUUUUCUGUUCUGAAACAGGCUAGGCAUGGUCCUGCCUCAAGGCCUUUGCACCACCUACUCUGUCUGCUUGGAUUGUUCUUCCCACAGAUUUCUUGCUCCCUUCUUCCUUCAUGAAGAAAUGUCAUGAAAUGUCCUUCCUUCAUGAAAUGUCACCUUCUCAUUUGAGGCCUUCUGUAGUACCCCAAAGAAUGGUCCCCAAAGAUGUCCACAUCCUUAUGCCCAGAACCUGUGAAUGUGUUAUCUUAAUGGCAAAAGUGACUUUGCAAAUGUGAUUAUAUUUAAGGAUCUUAAGGAGGAGAUUAUCCUGGAUUAUCCAGGAGGGCCCAAUGUAAUCACAAGGGCCCUUAUAAGUGAAAGGGGGAGGCAACAGAGAGAAGGAGAUGUCAUAAUGAAAACAGAUCCAAGUGAUGAGAUUGCUGGCUGGGGUGGAGGUGGAGGGGGGUACAAUCCAAGGAAUGCAAGAAGCCUCUAAAAGCUAGGAAAUGUCAGGACACAAAUUCUCCCCUAGAACCUGAGGAAGAAACCCAGGUUUAUGGACACUGAUUUUAACCCAAUAAGUCCCUUUUCUGACUGCUGACCUCCAAAACUGUAAGAUAAUAAAUUUGUGUUAUUUUAAGCCAACUGAGUUUGAGAUAAUUUAGUUAUGGCAGCAAUAGGAAACUAGCACACCUUCCUAGCCAUCCUAUCUAAAAUGGCAACCCAUGUCCUUCCUGGCACUUCCUAUCUCCCUUCCAUGUUUUUUUUAAAUCAUAUAUACAAUAUAUUUUACUGUUUUACCUAUUGUCUUUUCCACCAGAAAGUAAACUCCACGUAAAUAAGGAUUGUCUGUUUUAUUCUUUGCAGUAUCUCCACUGCCUAGGAUAGCAUCUGCACAUACUGCACACUCAGUACACAUUUGUCGAAUGAGGUCAGGCGCGGUGGUUCACACCUGUAAUCCCAGCACUUUGGGAGGCCAAGGCGGGUGGAUCACCUUAGGUUAGGAGUUCGAGACCAGCCUGGCCAACAUGGUGAAACCAUGUCUCUACUAAAAAUACAAAAAGUAGUUGGGCAUGGUGGCAUGUGCCUGUAAUCCCAGCUACUUGGGAGGCUGUGGCAGGAGAGUCACUUGAAUCUGGGAGGUGGAGGUUGCAGUGAGCCAAGAUUGUGCCACUCCACUCCAGCCUGGGCAACAGAGUAAGACUCUGGCUCAAAAAAAAAAAAAAAGAAAGAAAGAAAAAAAUACAUAUUUGUUGAAUGAACAAGUGAAUGAACAAAUGUUAUGCAAAUAUAUUAUCCCUAUCUGUAGCUUGCCUUUUAAUUUUGUUAUAGUAACUUUGGUUGAAAGGAAGUUCUAAAAUCUUUAAUAUAAUCAAAUGUAUCAAUCUUUUCAACUUGUAUAUUUUAUGCCUUGUUUAAUCAACUCUGUCUUAUAUCAAAAUUAUAAAAGUAUUACCCUGUAUUUUCUUAUAAAAGUUUUGAAUCUUUUCUUUUUCCACUUAGAUCAUUAAUCAACUUGGAAUUGGUGUUACAUAGUGGUAAAUGAUUGUCCCAGGACCACAUAUUGAAUAUUUUAUCAUUUCUCCACUGAUUUGUAACAACACAGUGGUUAUAUAUCCUGUUUAUACAUGGGUCUGUCUCUAGGUUUCCGGUUCUGUUCCAGUGGUCUGUUUGCUUACCCUUCUACUAAUAGCACAUUGGCCUAAUUACUAUAACUUUAUAAUGUGGCUCAAUCUCUGGAAAACCACAUACCUCUCCCCUCCUCUUUCUACAAUAUUCUUAUAUUUUGCAACUGGCCUUUACUGUUUUGUAUUAUUUUUAACAAUACCUUAUAUACCCACAUAUAUUAGAUGCUCUUAGCAUCACUAUUUAUAGCAUCUAAAAAUUGGAAAUUAUUUAAAUGUCCACCAAUACAUUAGUUAAAUAAAUUAGGUUAUACUCACAUAGUGGAAUACGAUACUGGCUUUCAAAAGAAUGAGGUAAAUUUACAUAUCUACAUUAAAAGGUAUUCAAGAUAUCAGAAAAAAGGGCAAGUUGCAAAACAAUAUUUAGAGUAAGAACCUAUUCAUGAAUUUUUUUAAUGUAAUUUGUGUUACAUGUAGAAAAAAAUAUGGGCAAGAAUACAUCAAAAUGUUAACAGUGGUUAUAUCUGAGGAUCAGGAAUAGGAAGAACAUUCGCUUUCUAAGGUAUGUAUUCCUAUAAUUCAUGGAUAUGACAAUAACCAAGUAUUACUUUUACAAUAGAAUAUAUAGGUUUUAACUUUGGUUAAAGCAAAUAUAUCUUUUUUUUUUUUUUUUUUGAGAUGGAGUCUCGCUCUGUUGCCCAGGCUGGAGUGCAGUGGUGUGAUCUCAGCUCACUGCAAGCUCUGCCUCCCAGGUUCAGGCCAUUCUCCUGCCUCAGCCUCCCGUGUAGCUGGGACUACAGGCGCCCACCACCACGCCCGGCUAAUUUUUUGUAUUUUUUAGUAGAGACAGGGUUUCACCGUGUUAGCCAGGAUGGUCUCGAUCUCCUGACCUUGUGAUCUGCCCGCCUCGGCCUCCCAAAGUGCUGGGAUUACAGGUGUGAGUCACUGCCCCCGGCUGCAAAUAUAUCUUAAUGUUAAAUGUGUAUUUUUCUGAUGAUAAAAUUAUGAGAAAUGUUAUUUUCAUUUUUGUUUUCC
This 3291-nucleotide long non-coding RNA is filed under the name Homo sapiens (human). RNAcentral describes it as "HSALNT0298991". The record is from RNAcentral. Lineage: Eukaryota; Metazoa; Chordata; Mammalia; Primates; Hominidae.